Algoriphagus sp. A40 is the source of this 61-nucleotide non-coding RNA. The record is from Rfam. Lineage: Bacteria; Pseudomonadati; Bacteroidota; Cytophagia; Cytophagales; Cyclobacteriaceae.
GCUAGUUUAGUGCAUCCCGAUGCAAUCGGGAGGUUCGAGGGUUCGAAUCCCUCAACUCCCA